GUGGCCCCUAUUGAUUGGGGAACAUUUUUUAGAUUUAAAAAUGGUAUAGCCGCACGGCUAUACUCAGUUUUGAAUUUUUUUUACGGAAGCUAUGUGUUGACACGUGGUGCGUAAUGGUUGGGGUCCUUUUUUAUAUUAAAAAUUAGUAUAUCCGAGCGGCUAUACUCAGUUUUGAAUUUUUUUUAAAAAAAGAAAGUGUGUGACACGUGGCCCCUAUUGAUUGGGGGACAUUUUUUAGAUUUAAAAUGGUAUAACCGCACGGCGAUACUCAGUUUUGAAUUUUUUUUUCAAGGAAGCUAUGUGUUGACACGUGGUGCGUAAUGGUUGGGGUCCUUUUUUAUAUUAAAAAUUAGUAUAUCCGAGCGGCUAUACUCAGUUUUGAAUUUUUUUUUCAAAAAGAAAGUGUGUGACACGUGGCCCCUAUUGAUUGGGGGACAUUUUUUAGAUUUAAAAAUAGUAUAGCCGCACGGCUAUACUCAGUUUUGAAUUUUUUUUCAAGAAAGCUAUGUGUUGACACGUGGUGCGUAAUGGUUGGGGUCCUUUUUUAUAUUAAAAAUUAGUAUAGCCGAACGGCUAUACUCAGUUUUGAAUUUUUUUUAAAAAGAAUGUGUUGACACAUGGUCCCUAUUGAUUGGGGGACAUUUUUUAGAUUUAAAAUAGUAUCGCCGCACGGCUAUACUCAGUUUUGAAUUUUUUUUCAAGGAAGCUAUGUGUUGACACGUGGUGCGUAAUGGUUGGGGUCCUUUUUUAUAUUAAAAAUUAGUAUAGCCGACCGGCUAUACUCAGUUUUGAAUUAUUUCUUUAAAAAGAAUGUGUUGACACGUGGUCCCUAUGAUUGGGGGACAUUUUUUAGAUUUAAAAUAGUAUAGCCGCACGGCUAUCCUCAGUUUUGAAUUUUUUUUCAAGGAAGCUAUGUGUUGACACGUGGUGCGUAAUGGUUGGGGUCCUUUUUUAUAUUAAAAAUUAGUAUGGCCGAGCGGCUAUACUCAGUUUUGAAUUAUUUUUUUAAAAGAAUGUGUUGACACGUGGCCCCUAUUGAUUGGGGGACAUUUUUUAGAUUGAAAAAUAGUAUAGCCGCCCGGCUAUACUCAGUUUUGAAUUUUUUUUCAAAAAAGCUAUGUGUUGACACGUGGUGCGUAAUGGUUGGGGUCCUUUUUUAUAUUAAAAAUUAGUAUAGCCGAGCGGCUAGACUUGACACGUGGUCCCUAUUGAUUGGGGGACAUUUUUUAGAUUUAAAAUAGUAUAGCCGCACGGCGAUACUCAGUUUUGAAUUUUUUUUCAAGGAAGCUAUGUGUUGACACGUGGUGCGUAAUGGUUGGGGUCCUUUUUUAUAUUAAAAAUUAGUAUAGCCGACCGGCUAUACUCAGUUUUGAAUUAUUUUUAAAAAUAAUGUGUUGACACGUGGCUCCUAUUGAUUGGGGGACAUUUUUUAGAUUUAAAAAUAGUAUAGCCGCACGGCUAUACUCAGUUUUGAAUUUUGUUUCAAGAAAGCUAUGUGUUGGCACGUGGUGCGUA
Molecule: long non-coding RNA, 1515 nt
Filed under: Prunus persica (peach)
Lineage: Eukaryota; Viridiplantae; Streptophyta; Magnoliopsida; Rosales; Rosaceae
Description: long non-coding RNA (PPER_LNC008480)
Source: RNAcentral